GCAAAGGCAUAAGCCAGCUUGACUGUGAGAGUGACGGCUCGAGCAGGUACGAAAGUAGGUCUUAGUGAUCCGGUGGUUCUGAAUGGAAGGGCCAUCGCUCAACGGAUAAAAGGUACUCCGGGGAUAACAGGCUGAUACCGCCCAAGAGUUCAUAUCGACGGCGGUGUUUGGCACCUCGAUGUCGGCUCAUCACAUCCUGGGGGCUGAAGUAGGUCCCAAGGGUAUGGCUGUUCGCCGAUUUAAAGUGGUACGCGAGCUGGGUUUAGAACGUCGUGAGACAGUUCGGUCCCUAUCUGCCGUGGGCGUUGGAAGAUUGAGAGGGGUUGCUCCUAGUACGAGAGGACCGGAGUGAACGCA
This 357-nucleotide ribosomal RNA is filed under the name Shigella sp. FC1967. RNAcentral's name for it is "bacterial LSU rRNA". It matches the Rfam family "Bacterial large subunit ribosomal RNA", at positions 2351 to 2705 of the family's 2925-position model. Lineage: Bacteria; Pseudomonadati; Pseudomonadota; Gammaproteobacteria; Enterobacterales; Enterobacteriaceae. The record is from RNAcentral.